GCGCCGGCCUAGCCCGGCCAGGCCCGGCGGGCGGCGCGUUGACCUUGCGGGCGGUCAAACCGGCCACCCGUUUUUCCCUGGCGGUGGCGCUCGGGAGUCUGGGUGGGGGCCUCGGAGCCAGGGGCCACGGACUGCAUCACGGUAGAGAGAUUCGCGAGCCUCAGGCGAGGGACGCAACCUCCAGCUCCGCGGAGACCGAGGGUGGCCACGUCCAGGGACAUCUCCGGUUCAUUCAUUGGGUUCCUACUGUGUGCUCUUAUACGGCGCUCAGCCAGCCCAACUGAUGUGGAGUGCUGUGCGCGGCCCUGCUAGGCUUCUUUGUGGAUGGCCGGGGCGAGGUAGGGUAGUACUGUGGGUCUGCAGGAGACAGGAGGCAGUUAGGACAGAGUCGACUAUUACACCCAGACAGUCCACUCAGGAGAGGAGAUCCAGACCUCCCAAUGCCUUUACUUUUGUCCCAAGAACGACGUCAAGCCCGUCCUCUUCACUAUGGCCCGGCGUGCACGGAGUAGCAGGGCAUGGCACUUUGUCCUGAGUGCAGCACGCCGAGAUACAGAUGCUCGAGCUGUGGCUCUGGCAGGCAACUCUAACUGGGGCUACGACUCUGAUGGGCAGCACAGCGACUCCGACUCUGACCCUGAGUACUCUUCCCUGCCACCAUCCAUCCCCAGUGCUGUGCCUGUGACAGGAGAGUCCUUCUGUGACUGUGAGG
Molecule: long non-coding RNA, 712 nt
Filed under: Rattus norvegicus (Norway rat)
Lineage: Eukaryota; Metazoa; Chordata; Mammalia; Rodentia; Muridae
Description: long non-coding RNA NONRATT004094
Source: RNAcentral